CUGGAUAACCGUGGUAAUUCUAGAGCUAAUACAUGCUAAAAACCUCGACUUCGGAAGGGGUGUAUUUAUUAGAUAAAAAACCAAUGCCCUUCGGGGCUCCUUGGUGAAUCAUAAUAACUUAACGAAUCGCAUGGCCUUGCGCCGGCGAUGGUUCAUUCAAAUUUCUGCCCUAUCAACUUUCGAUGGUAAGAUAGAGGCUUACCAUGGUCUUAACGGGUAACGGGGAAUUAGGGUUCUAUUCCGGAGAGGGAGCCUGAGAAACGGCUACCACAUCCAAGGAAGGCAGCAGGCGCGCAAAUUACCCAAUCCCGACACGGGGAGGUAGUGACAAUAAAUACUGAUACGGGGCUCUUUUGGGUCUCGUAAUUGGAAUGAGUACAAUCUAAAUCCCUUAACGAGGAACAAUUGGAGGGCAAGUCUGGUGCCAGCAGCCGCGGUAAUUCCAGCUCCAAUAGCGUAUAUUAAAGUUGUUGCCGUUAAAAAGCUCGUAGUUGAACCUUGGGCCUGGCUGACCUGUCCUCCUAAUCGAGCGCACGGGUUCGGUCGGGCCUUUCCUUCUAGGGAACCCCAUGCCCUUCACUGGGUGUGGUGGGGAACUAGGACUUUUACCUUGAAAAAAUUAGAGUGUUCAAAGCAGGCCUUUGCUCGAAUACAUUAGCAUGGA
This 664-nucleotide ribosomal RNA is filed under the name Chaetothyriales sp. A597. Its description in RNAcentral is "SSU rRNA". It matches the Rfam family "Eukaryotic small subunit ribosomal RNA", at positions 139 to 813 of the family's 1831-position model. Lineage: Eukaryota; Fungi; Ascomycota; Eurotiomycetes; Chaetothyriales. The record is from RNAcentral.